UACGUAGGGGGCUAGCGUUGCUCGGAAUCACUGGGCGUAAAGCGCACGUAGGCGGCUUCUUAAGUCAGGGGUGAAAUCCUGGAGCUCAACUCCAGAACUGCGUUUGAUACUGAGAGUCUUGAGUUCGGGAGAGGUGAGUGGAACUGCGAGUGUAGAGGUGAAAUUCGUAGAUAUUCGCAAGAACACCAGUGGCGAAGGCGGCUCACUGGCCCGAUACUGACGCUGAGGCACGAAAGCGUGGGGAGCAAACAGG
This 253-nucleotide ribosomal RNA is filed under the name uncultured bacterium. RNAcentral's name for it is "partial 16S ribosomal RNA". It matches the Rfam family "Bacterial small subunit ribosomal RNA", at positions 524 to 776 of the family's 1533-position model. The record is from RNAcentral.